This is a long non-coding RNA of Peromyscus maniculatus bairdii (prairie deer mouse), 3335 nucleotides long. RefSeq lists it as uncharacterized. Lineage: Eukaryota; Metazoa; Chordata; Mammalia; Rodentia; Cricetidae. The record is from RefSeq and is a predicted model, not a curated record.
GGUGGUUUAGUUCCAGCUAGGAUGCUUCUACACCUGAAUCCAAGGAGUGGAGCACCAGGACUGCACUCUUCCAUUCUGUUCGCCCACCUCCUGCCCUCAGUCAAAAAAAUAGAAAAGUGAAGCUGCGUGUGUUCCUCAGUAGAAUCAACUGUCGACUUCAUCAAAAGAGGACACCAUGGUCCAGCUGCUCUACCAAGAUGCCAUCACUGACCAUCUAUCAGAACAGUUGAUGGGUUCCAUGCUAAUACUGAUAUUGCUUGGAUUUCAUUGAUCUAUUAGUUAGGAUUCUCUAGGGGAACAAAACCAAUGGGAUUAACAUACAAAACAUUUAGUUAACUCUAAAUUUAAUAAAAAUUUAAUGUCUGUUAAUAAGUAUUUAACCAAAAAAAAAAAAACAACAAAAUCACACCAGAGAACUGAGAACCCAGUAGUUAUUCAGUCCUUGAGGCUGAGUGCUUCAGCAGUGGGAGUAGUCCCACAAAGACUGUCUUUUUAUGAGGGUAGGCUGUCACUAGUCUCAAUCUAGCGACAAAAAUCUGGAAGGUUCCUGGAGAACUGCUGGUCCCUAGUCCAAGAUGAAAUUUUGGAAAUGCUUGUUCUAGUAUCAUCAACAGAAUCAUCAUCAUCAUCAUCAUCAUCAUCACCAUCACCAUCACCAUCAUCAUCAUCAUCAGCGGCAGCAGCAGCAGAAACAGCAGCAGCAGGAAUAGAGCAGAUUAACAGAGUUGUAAGAGGGAAGGCCAGGCAAGCUAAUGUUGAGAUGAUUUUCCUUCUGCAAUGCUCCCGUUACUUGGACUGCUGUCAGAAGUUGCCGUUCACAGUGGGGUGCAUAUCAUCACAUAAUCAUCAAAGAGAUCAGGAUGAUUUUUCUGGUGCAUCUCCUACUCAGAAGCUUGCUCAUCUGUAUCUAUGUGCUCAAUAAGGUGGGGUGGCGAGUGACUUGUGGAACUGGCUCCCUUCCAUCAGCUCUUAUGAGGCAACAAACAGAUUUGCGUCAACCCCUGACCUGCUGGAUACCAGGCAUGUCCUAACUGCUGAACAGUGAGACGCCAGUCAGUCCUGACCUUCCACUAGCUCCUGAACUGGCUGGUCACAGAUGGAAUGAUCCUUGAGCCUGGAUGAGUUCCAGAUGGAAGAGCCACAGCUGAUCUCUCACUGUUAUAUAAGAUGAACAAGAAAGGAAGCUCUGAUGAUGUAAGCUAUUAAGAUUUGGAAGUUGGAAUGUCUUUUCUCACACAGUAUAAUUCAGACUAAGUUGACUGAUAGAAUCAGCAUCCUCCUCAGAAGCUGGAGAAUUGUUUUAAUAAGAAUAAAAGGAAAGUCAGAAGAACUAAAGUCAUCAAGAAUGAAUUGUUGAGGAGGGAGGGGGAAACUGUGGUUAAACUAUAAAAUUAAUAAAUAAGUGAAUGAAUGAAUGAAAUGAAAUGAAAUGUUGUUUCGAGAUUCUUAGCUUAUCAUCUUCAUACAUCCUUAGUAAGAUAUUGAACAUCAAGCAAGCUAUUUUCGGUAAUAUUGGAUGCCCAUGGUUGAAGGCACCUGGUAAUCUUUCUUCUUUCCAGGAUGAAUAUAGGUCUGGAAUUUUAAUAUCUAAACCUCUCCCUUUCCUUUUCUCUUACAUCCCACCAUUAAGCUUGCAUUAUGGACUUCUCUGCUAGGAGACCAUAUUGUUUGAAGAGUACUGGAAAAACAGACCAUCUGAAUUUGUAGUGGAACUCACAGCAAUGAUUGGGCAUGAAAUUCCAAACAGCAUUUUGGCCAAGUGCAGAGAAUUAACUGAGGUGAACUAGCUAGUCUGAUAGACUUGAAACUACACUUAUAUUAAAGGGAAAGACCACUGAAUGCAGUGCACGAGAGCGCUUCAGACCACAAAUCCUCAAGUCUUUGGUUUUGACUCCAGUUGCACCACUCAUAAUUUUAAUGUCCACUUUCAUCUCUGAAAAUGAUGUAAUGAAUACAUGUGUCUUUUGGUCGGUCUGUAUUCAAAUUCUGGGUAGCUUAUUAGGCGUUGGUCCAUGGGAAGCUGUUUGUCAUUUCUCAAUGUCAAUGUCUUCUGUCGGAAUAGAGGGGCAGUGAUAGCAUCUGCCUAAUGUGGUCAUUGCAAAAAUAAAAUGAAUUAAUGGCUCCAUAGUCUGGUAAAGAGCCUCAUGAACUUGAAUAAUGUAAGCUACCUUCACAGCUAUCACACAUCAUUUUUGUUGCUCUUUCUCAAUUUAUUAUGCAACUUACAUUUCUUUGACUGUGAUUCUUUGAGGGUAGCAGGAAUUGAAGAUGUUUUAUGCAUCAGCCAUAGGGCAAUAUUAGGCCAUAUUAGGGCAAUAUCUUCUUGUCAGACCACUGAAGUCAAGAAUAAUGUGUAGCCACAAGUUAAUUAUAAAAGGCAUGUCCACUUGGGUAAUGUGUUCCCAAUAUAAUCCUUUGUGUUGAAGUUUUAAUCUGACUUACUUGCUUUCUACACCAGGAUUUCUGAGCCAUGAAAAUGAAUUUUACCAAGCAGACACUAGGUAAUAAAUCCUAUCACACAGAAAGGAAGGAACUGAUUCUUUCUUCUGAGCUUUUAAAAAGACUGCUGUGUAUGAGGUAUCUAUAUGGAGCCUCUUUUGGCAUAGCUGACAUGGCCUUUGAGAGACGUUGGGAAUUGUGCAAAGCCAUAUCACUUUAGGAACAAAAUAAUUUCAACCUAGAUUUAAAAAAAAAAUUAUUUUGGCCAAGCAAAAGAUAACUGUGGGAUAAUAAUUUUCCCUACAGUUGUAGAACUUAGAUGCAUUCUGAGGAGUUUUAUGCCAUCUUCCAUAUUCAAAUUUUUGGCUUGUGGGUAAGGUGUCUGUUCAAGUUAGUUGAGAUAUACCAGAGCUCUGUUGAAACUGGCAGCUUGCUCAUGAAAACAGCCUGUUGGCCAUAGCUUUGUCUUAAAACACAAAGGCUGAGCUCUUCAUUCAACCCAGUGAGACAGUGAAAUGUGAUGGAGCUUAGAAAGGAGACAGUAAGAAAGGACCGCAUCAGCUUUGGGAGACUGUAGAAGUUAGGGUUGUUUUCCUCCAAGGUUCUUUCCUCUCGGUGUUUUCCCCACAAGGCUUGGCUUCUCUUUUCUUUUUUUCUUUUUUUCCCCCCUGUGCAUUACACACAGCAACAGCACCACCUACUGGCCUGUUCUAUUGCUGAUUUUCUGUGGUGAUUUUUGUAGCUUCCCUGGGGGAUUUAUUUAGCCAUGCUUUCACUUUCAAGACCCUGCUCUUGUUCUCCUGAGUACCAUCGUGGUAAAGCUGUUUUGUAGUUAACUUAAUAGCUCUCUAUUAUUAAAACAGAUAUCUCAAAAUAAACUCUGAGUUCCUAUACCA